This 492-nucleotide ribosomal RNA is filed under the name uncultured bacterium. RNAcentral's name for it is "bacterial SSU rRNA". It matches the Rfam family "Bacterial small subunit ribosomal RNA", at positions 28 to 507 of the family's 1533-position model. The record is from RNAcentral.
GAUGAACGCUAGCUACAGGCUUAACACAUGCAAGUCGCGGGGUAACAUCUGGGAGAGCUUGCUCUUCCAGGAUGACGACCGGCGCACGGGUGAGUAACGCGUAUCCAACCUGGCCCAUACCACGGGAUAGCCCGUCGAAAGGCGGAUUAAUACCGUAUGCUGUCAUUAAGAGGCAUUUUUUGAUGACGAAAGGACUGGCGGUAUGGGAUGGGGAUGCGUCUGAUUAGCUUGUUGGCGGGGUAACGGCCCACCAAGGCGACGAUCAGUAGGGGUUCUGAGAGGAAGGUCCCCCACAUUGGAACUGAGACACGGUCCAAACUCCUACGGGAGGCAGCAGUGAGGAAUAUUGGUCAAUGGGCGUAAGCCUGAACCAGCCAAGUAGCGUGAGGGAAGACUGCCCUACGGGUUGUAAACCUCUUUUGUUUGGGAAUAAAGUGCGGGACGCGUCCCGCAUUGCAUGUACCAUUUGAAUAAGGACCGGCUAAUUCCGUG